GCAAGGUAUCGAAGUACGCGCUUUGCUGCUUCGAGGUGGAGUGUUGUAGGGUGGUGCAUGAACUGAGACAAUCUGUUGACUGCAAAGGCUAUGUCAGGCCUUGUAAGACAGAGAUACUGCAGGCUACCAACAAUUGCACGGAACGAUAGAGGAUCACUGAGAGAGACACCACCUUUCUGAGUCAGCACUUGCGUAGAGCACAUAGGAGUGGCAUUGCCUGAGUUUGACAUUUAGAUUGCGGUAGGAAGAAGGAAAAGAAAAAAAAAAAAAAAAAAUUAGGUCAGAGGUUAAUCGUUUGCUCUGAUACCAUGUAAGAUAGGUUUGAAUGUAUAUAUUAUUGAUAACGUGAGAGCUUAUUUAUACAUGGUAUACAAGAUCUUUGAUAAGAUCAAAUCUGUAGAUAAGUACUAGCGUAUUAUCUUUGAUCAUUAUCUUCAGUAUGGAUAUACACUAAUACUGAACCAUAUCAAACUUUUCCGCAUAGAGCCUGAAGUUUUCAAACUCAAAAACCACCACCAAAACUAAGAAACCAAUACAAUGAAUGAAACAGUAGGAAGGGUCUACUCGCAACGUGGGUGAUAAGCCGCCGGAGCAAACCCUCACGGCAAGAAAAUCAAAGAAUAAGAAGAGACAGCUAGGGUUUAGAGAGUAGUUUAUGAGCUUGCUUCACUUAUACAAAUAAUGAUCAGACAUUAUAGACAGUUGAUAAAUCAGAAAAUGCUUCUAACAACGAAAGAUGCACAAAUCAUUCUGCCACUAAUCUUACAAACAUCAAACAGGUAAAAAAAAAAGUGAAUACACUUUCUCCUUCCAUUUUUUUUUUAUCAUGUCUACAAGCAUGAGCACGAGCACGGCGCUGAGUCAUUAGGCAGCGGUGUUAAAUCAGAU
Brassica rapa (field mustard) is the source of this 888-nucleotide long non-coding RNA. RefSeq lists it as uncharacterized. The record is from RefSeq and is a predicted model, not a curated record. Lineage: Eukaryota; Viridiplantae; Streptophyta; Magnoliopsida; Brassicales; Brassicaceae.